Molecule: ribosomal RNA, 484 nt
Filed under: uncultured bacterium
Lineage: Bacteria
Description: partial 16S ribosomal RNA
Rfam family: Bacterial small subunit ribosomal RNA
Source: RNAcentral
AUUGAACGCUGGCGGCAGGCCUAACACAUGCAAGUCGAGCGGUUGAGGGGCGCUUGCUGCUGGAUUCAGCGGCGGACGUGUGUGUAAUGCCUAGGAAUCUCCCUGGUAGUGGGGGAUAACGUCCGGAAACGGGCGCUAAUCCCGCAUACGCCCUGAGGGAGAAAGUGGGGGAUCUUCGGACUUCACGCUAUCAGAUGAGCCUAGGUCGGAUUAGCUAGUUGGUGGGGUAAAGGCCUACCAAGGCGACGUUCCGUAACUGGUCUGAGAGGAUGAUCAGCCACACUGGAACGGAGACACGGUACAGACUCAUACGGGAGGCAGCAGUGGGGAAUAGUGGAGCAGGGGCGAAAGAUUGAUCCAGCCAUGCGGAGUGUGGGAGGAAGGUCGUCGGGUUGUAAAGGACUUUAAGUGGGGAGGAAGGGCAGUACGUUAAUACCGUGGUGCAAGGACGUUACGGUAAGAAUAAGCACCGGCUAACUUCGGG